CCGAGUUUACAACUCCCAAACCCCUGUGAACAUACCACUUGUUGCCUCGGCGGAUCAGCCCGCUCCCGGUAAAACGGGACGGCCCGCCAGAGGACCCCUAAACUCUGUUUCUAUAUGUAACUUCUGAGUAAAACCAUAAAUAAAUCAAAACUUUCAACAACGGAUCUCUUGGUUCUGGCAUCGAUGAAGAACGCAGCAAAAGGCGAUAAGUAAUGUGAAUUGCAGAAUUCAGUGAAUCAUCGAAUCUUUGAACGCACAUUGCGCCCGCCAGUAUUCUGGCGGGCAUGCCUGUUCGAGCGUCAUUUCAACCCUCAAGCACAGCUUGGUGUUGGGACUCGCGUUAAUUCGCGUUCCUCAAAUUGAUUGGCGGUCACGUCGAGCUUCCAUAGCGUAGUAGUAAAACCCUCGUUACUGGUAAUCGUCGCGGCCACGCCGUUAAAACCCCAACUUCUGAAUGUUGACCUCGGAUCAGGUAGGAAUACCCGCUGAACUUAAGCAUAUCAAUAAGCGGAGGAAUCGCGUACUUGGUCAUUUAGAGGAAGUAAAAGUCGUAACAAGGCUUCCGUAGGUGAACCUGCGGAAGGAUCAUUAACGAGUUUUAAUUGUUAGGUUAGAGUUGAGCUGGUUAAUCUAAUUAAUAUGUGCUUACUCUAAUCGAAACAAGUCCACUCAUUACUUAACACUUGUGAACUUAUUCAUUACAAACAUUAUUAUUUGUUAUUGGAACGUUUGAUUAUUAAAAAGUUAAUA
RNAcentral lists this unclassified non-coding RNA (750 nucleotides) under soil metagenome. RNAcentral describes it as "partial contains internal transcribed spacer 1, 5.8S ribosomal RNA, and internal transcribed spacer 2". The stretch from base 149 to 302 matches the Rfam family "5.8S ribosomal RNA". The record is from RNAcentral.